ACAAUUACUGUUUACUGAGCAAUUGAUCACCUGAACCACAGGGAAUUGCAGGGGAAUAACAAGAAAGGAGUCAAUCUAGGAACAAACUAGAGAGACGUAAUGAAGCAAGACUCAACCCAAUGAGGAUAUAACUCAGGGGAGUAAUUCCAUCCCAAUACAUAUUUAGGGAGGAAACUGAAACAAUAAUCAACCACGAGGACAUAAC
This 205-nucleotide long non-coding RNA is filed under the name Lathyrus oleraceus (garden pea). Its description in RNAcentral is "Pisum sativum (pea) long non-coding RNA (PSAT_LNC018938)". The record is from RNAcentral. Lineage: Eukaryota; Viridiplantae; Streptophyta; Magnoliopsida; Fabales; Fabaceae.